RNAcentral lists this ribosomal RNA (313 nucleotides) under uncultured Bacteroidales bacterium. Its description in RNAcentral is "partial 16S ribosomal RNA". Lineage: Bacteria; Pseudomonadati; Bacteroidota; Bacteroidia; Bacteroidales. The record is from RNAcentral.
GGAGUUUGGACCGUGUCUCAGUUCCAAUGUGGGGGACCUUCCUCUCAGAACCCCUAGACAUCGUCGGCUUGGUAGGCCGUUACCCUACCAACUACCUAAUGUCGCGCGAGCCCAUCCGUGACCACCAAAGCUUUCAACAUAAGAGGAUGCCCUCCUAUGUGUUACGGGAUAUUAGACGCCGUUUCCAGCGCUUAUCCCCCUGUCACGGGCAAGUUGCUCACGUGUUCCGCACCCUUUUGCCGGUCGCCGCCAUGUAUUGCUACACGCGCUGCCCCUCGACUUGCAUGUGUUAAGCCUGCCGCUAGCGUUCAUC